This 774-nucleotide ribosomal RNA is filed under the name uncultured Neocallimastigales. Its description in RNAcentral is "partial large subunit ribosomal RNA". It matches the Rfam family "Eukaryotic large subunit ribosomal RNA", at positions 26 to 616 of the family's 3401-position model. Lineage: Eukaryota; Fungi; Neocallimastigomycota; Neocallimastigomycetes; Neocallimastigales. The record is from RNAcentral.
CGCAUCUGUGCAUGCAGCAUAUCAAUAAGCGGAGGAAAAGAAACUAACAAGGAUUCCCCUAGUAACGGCGAGUGAAGCGGGAAGAGCUCAAAUUUGAAAUCUUAAAGGGUUUCCCUUUACGAAUUGUAGUUUAAAGAAGUGUUUUCUGUUGAGGUUUUGGUAAAAGUUCUUUGGAAUAGGACAUCAUAGAGGGUGAGAAUCCCGUAUUUGACCUUUACUUUCAACUUUGUGAUACACUUUCAAAGAGUCAGAUUGUUUGGGAAUGCAGUCCAAAAUGGGUGGUAAAUUUCAUCUAAAGCUAAAUAUUGGCGAGAGACCGAUAGCGAACAAGUACCGUGAGGGAAAGAUGAAAAGAACUUUGAAAAGAGAGUUAAACAGUACGUGAAAUUGUCAAAAGGGAAGCGUUUGACACCAGUGUUGUUUUUCUGAAAAUCAAUUAAAGAACUGUUUAUGCUAAGUUGUUUAGACUUUAUCAGCUAACUGUUUAGUUUUGAGCUUUUCUUUAAUGCACUUUUCAGUUAACAAGUCAACAUCAAUUUCUUUUGCUGUAAAAAAGCUUGAGGAAGGUGGCUUGAGAUUCGUCUUAAGUGUUUAUAGCCUCUUGCCUAUGCAGUCGGAGAGAUUGAGGUCUGCAGCGUAGAUCCUUCGGGGCUAAAUGCAUUUGUGCUAAGUUAUAACAUUUUAUAGACAACUUGUUGACUAUGAUUUGUCUUGUAGCUUACUCGCUUAUGUUAUUUUACCUACGCUUAGGAUGUUGAGCGCAUGUCUCUCUCU